UGAGGAUCAGUCUGUCAGUCUAUCCUUCAGACUGCCUGGUCCAUCGGUCGGUCGGUCCGUAGUCCUUCAGCCUGU
RNAcentral lists this microRNA precursor (75 nucleotides) under Mus pahari (shrew mouse). Its description in RNAcentral is "miRNA (MGP_PahariEiJ_G0007648.1)". The record is from RNAcentral. Lineage: Eukaryota; Metazoa; Chordata; Mammalia; Rodentia; Muridae.